GGGAAGUCGGCAAAAUGGAUCCGUAACCUCGGGAAAAGGAUUGGCUCUGAGGGCUGGGCACGGGGGUCCCAGUUUCGAACCCGUCGGCUGUUGGCGGACUGCUUGAGCUGCUCCCGCGGCGAGAGCGGGUCGACGCGUGCCGGUCGGGGGACGGACUGGGAACGGGACCUUUUGGUCCUCUUCCCCGGGCAUCGAACAGUCAACUCAGAACUGGUACGGACAAGGGGAAUCCGACUGUUUAAUUAAAACAAAGCAUUGCGAUGGUC
This 266-nucleotide non-coding RNA is filed under the name Gossypium arboreum. Its description in RNAcentral is "Eukaryotic large subunit ribosomal RNA". It matches the Rfam family "Eukaryotic large subunit ribosomal RNA", at positions 1908 to 2169 of the family's 3401-position model. The record is from Rfam by way of RNAcentral. Lineage: Eukaryota; Viridiplantae; Streptophyta; Magnoliopsida; Malvales; Malvaceae.